RNAcentral lists this transfer RNA (76 nucleotides) under Actinotignum schaalii FB123-CNA-2. RNAcentral describes it as "tRNA-Lys". It matches the Rfam family "tRNA". From Rfam's summary of the family: Transfer RNA (tRNA) molecules are approximately 80 nucleotides in length. Their secondary structure includes four short double-helical elements and three loops (D, anti-codon, and T loops). Further hydrogen bonds mediate the characteristic L-shaped molecular structure. tRNAs have two regions of fundamental functional importance: the anti-codon, which is responsible for specific mRNA codon recognition, and the 3' end, to which the tRNAs corresponding amino acid is attached (by aminoacyl-tRNA synthetases). tRNAs cope with the degeneracy of the genetic code in two manners: having more than one tRNA (with a specific anti-codon) for a particular amino acid; and 'wobble' base-pairing, i.e. permitting non-standard base-pairing at the 3rd anti-codon position. Lineage: Bacteria; Bacillati; Actinomycetota; Actinomycetes; Actinomycetales; Actinomycetaceae. The record is from RNAcentral.
GCACCGCUAGCUCAAUUGGCAGAGCAACUGACUCUUAAUCAGUGGGUUCUGGGUUCGAGUCCCAGGCGGUGUACAA